Non-coding RNA from Paramuricea clavata, 613 nucleotides. Lineage: Eukaryota; Metazoa; Cnidaria; Anthozoa; Malacalcyonacea; Plexauridae. The record is from the annotation of a GenBank genome assembly.
AGCCAAUCAGAGACGAGUAUAUGUUGAGGUUGGGUUCUCCCAUUUCAGCUCAAUCGUUAAAUACCAUCAGUCAGAGUGGUCAGAACUGCAGCUAUAUUUUCAGUACUUGCCUUUCAAUAUGGCGUCCUUCCACGAAGGAGCGAUGUAUGGGAAGGAAGAUUUUGUCCUUCUCGAUGAAAUUACGAUGGAGGCGUUUAUGGAAAACUUAGAACUACGCUAUAAGAAGGAGAGAAUAUAUACUUAUAUCGGCGAAGUGUUGGUAUCCAUGAAUCCGUACAAAACAUUGAACAUUUACGAAAAGGACAAAAUCGCUGAUUACUCUGGCAGGGAGCUUUACGAGAGACCACCGCAUAUAUUCGCGAUUGCCGAUGCAGCUUACAUCAGUAUGAAACGAAAGAGCAGAGAUACAUGUAUUGUGAUUUCAGGUUGGUGCUUGACAAAAAUACCACAAAUAAUUUGUCGUACUGAACAAAUAUAUGAACGAUACAGUGUUUCAAUUAAUUUUAAAUUCCCCAGAGGCCGAGUUAAGUGUCUCAUUUAUUUACAGCUAAAUCUUUAUAACGUAUUAUUUAUCCUAAUCCACUCAACAACUUAAUCAAGCACAGUGUCAUUG